GGCGAGAAGAAGGUUUAAGGAGUGACAAACAAGCGCUUAUGUCGCUUAUCUGAGAACUCCUGGGAAGGUCUGAGAAAAGGUACUAUGUUAUGUGAAUCUUCCAGCAGGAGAGUGGCGUAAUACGCUGCAAGGUUCGUACUAGAAAAACGGCACACUUCAUAUAUGAUGAACGCAUGAGGGCUUCACUGGUGCCAGACGUGCAUAUAUGAAGUGUUGGAAGGAGACCCUCGUACCGGCUGUGCUUAGUGCAAUAACCAGGCAAACACAAUUCAGACUACUCUCUCGCC
RNAcentral lists this RNase P RNA (287 nucleotides) under Dracunculus medinensis (Guinea worm). Its description in RNAcentral is "Nuclear RNase P". It matches the Rfam family "Nuclear RNase P". Rfam says of the family: Ribonuclease P (RNase P) is a ubiquitous endoribonuclease, found in archaea, bacteria and eukarya as well as chloroplasts and mitochondria. Its best characterised activity is the generation of mature 5'-ends of tRNAs by cleaving the 5'-leader elements of precursor-tRNAs. The record is from Rfam by way of RNAcentral. Lineage: Eukaryota; Metazoa; Nematoda; Chromadorea; Rhabditida; Dracunculidae.